UACGUAGGGGGCAAGCGUUGUCCGGAUUCAUUGGGCGUAAAGAGCGUGUAGGCGGCCAGGUAGGUCGGUUGUGAAAACUGGAGGCUCAACCUUCAGAGGUCGACCGAAACCAUCUGGCUAGAGUCCGGGAGAGGAGAGUGGAAUUCCUGGUGUAGCGGUGAAAUGCGCAGAUAUCAGAAAGAACACCCGUGGCGAAAGCGGCUCUCUGGAACGGUACUGACGCUGAGACGCGAAAGCGUGGGGAGCGAACAGG
This 253-nucleotide ribosomal RNA is filed under the name uncultured bacterium. RNAcentral's name for it is "partial 16S ribosomal RNA". It matches the Rfam family "Bacterial small subunit ribosomal RNA", at positions 524 to 776 of the family's 1533-position model. The record is from RNAcentral.